CAGAUAUUAGUUUAAUUAAAAAUUUUAAUUUUGGAGAUUAAAGAUAAGAGUUAUUUUAUAUCUGA
RNAcentral lists this transfer RNA (65 nucleotides) under Agetocera mirabilis. RNAcentral describes it as "tRNA-Pro". The record is from RNAcentral. Lineage: Eukaryota; Metazoa; Arthropoda; Insecta; Coleoptera; Chrysomelidae.